GACAAGAAAUAACAAUACAGGGCUAUUGUCUUGUAAUUGGAAUGAUGGUGACGUAAAAGCUCACCAGAGUACCAAUUGGAGGGCAAGUCUGGUGCCAGCAGCCGCGGUAAUUCCAGCCCCAAUAGCGUAUAUUAAACUUGUUGCAGUUAAAAAGCUCGUAGUUGUAUUUCAGCCUGUCGUCUUUUCCCUUGUUUGGGUUUUUUCGCGGGCCUUUUUUUUACUUUGAGAAAAUUAGAGUGUUUCAAGCAGACUUUUGUCUUGAAUACUUCAGCAUGGAAUAAUAGAGUAGGACCUUGGUUCUAUUUUGUUGGUUGUGUACCUUGGUAAUGGUUAAUAGGAACGGUUGGGGGCAUUCGUAUUUAACUGUCAGAGGUGAAAUUCUUAG
RNAcentral lists this ribosomal RNA (385 nucleotides) under Babesia ovata. RNAcentral describes it as "partial 18S ribosomal RNA". It matches the Rfam family "Eukaryotic small subunit ribosomal RNA", at positions 469 to 923 of the family's 1831-position model. Lineage: Eukaryota; Apicomplexa; Aconoidasida; Piroplasmida; Babesiidae. The record is from RNAcentral.